This 4468-nucleotide unclassified non-coding RNA is filed under the name Patiria miniata (bat star). Its description in RNAcentral is "lARGE xylosyl- and glucuronyltransferase 2-A-like, transcript variant X1". Lineage: Eukaryota; Metazoa; Echinodermata; Asteroidea; Valvatida; Asterinidae. The record is from RNAcentral.
CAAAACAAUUUUCAAGAUGGCUGCGUGCAUGCAGAUGAAAAGAAAAAUAUAUCGUUGCAUCCAUCGGUUGUGUCUUUUUAAUAUUGCUUUCUUCGUUUGGAUUUUUUUCAUGAUAUCUCUAUUCUCGCUUAUGGUGACAUAUAUCAGCUUUGUGUUUUAUCUGGAUGAUGACGAAAGAACCAGAGAUAAAAAUCUGGAAAAUGACAUGGACUUCCCGGUUGCUGAUGGAGUUGAUGAAGUCUUGCUCCUUCAGGAAGGCAUCGUGCCUGGGGAGGAUGCUCAGACCUUUGCCUCUGGUAAUCUGAUCUCAUCCCACAUCAUUGACUCCUCAGCAGUGGAGAUUGCUGGUUGGUGGAUGCCUCAGGUCCGAUGGAAUCCAGAGAUUGACUGUAGUCUGCCCGACCAGCCAGGUACCUGUGGUAAGGUCCUGAGUGUGAAAUGCAAGCCAGACAGUGUUAGAGCAAUAUAUCAGUUUUUACCUAUUAAUCAAGAUAAACCCAUUGAUGGUAUUUAUUUUCACGCAAAAAGCGCAGCAUCAAAGCUGACAAAAGACAAACAAGUGGCAAGUGAUGCCACAUACAGUGCAAUAGCUUUAUUGAGAUACAAAGAUGGUGCAUCAGACAGAAUAAGACUCGAUUUUCCAGCAGGAACACACCCCUAUUUAUCAGCUGAAGUGGACAAGAUUUUUCCAGUAGACAAAGUGCUCCAGAGUGUCACUGUCAUGCUGUGUUGCCAUGGUUACCAGGGUUCCAUCAAAUUCAUGGAUGUCAUAGUACGCCCAAUUUUAGAGGACCAUUCACAAGUCAUGGUCACCAAAAACUACAUCCAGAAAUGUCCUGAAUAUUGCAGGUCAUCAAAGACCAGCUCCAGGUUUGAUUUUGACGUGGAGCAGUUCCUAACAGAUGGGACGCAGUUAACUGAGGGGUCACAACCUUUGACCUUAGUAACCCAGGUGUCACUGGACAGGAUUGACCUGCUGGAAUCCGCCCUUGAGCAUUGGCAGGGCCCAAUAUCGGUGGCGCUCUUCAUUCCGACAAAAUCUUCCAAAACCGACAACGACCACGGAUGGAAAAGGUUGUAUAUCAAGAAGAAGCUUCGUAACAGUCAUUUACAGGGUAGAUGCAAUAUGGUGGUUGUCUUCGCUAAAACGUCAGAGGAUGAGUAUCCAGUCAACUACUUGAGGAAUUUGGCCAUCAGACAAGCCAAGACCAAGUACAUUUUUCUCCUGGAUGCAGAUUUUGUCCCUGCUCCAGAUUUCCAAUCAAGCUUCCAGACCUCCCUGGCUAUGAUCGAGAGAACCCCGCAGUUUAACAAAACUGCCUUUGUGGUGCCUGUCUUUGAGUAUGCGCAGGAAUUCAUUAAGGAUUUUCCAGUCGACCAGCCCAAGAAUAAGCAGGACCUGAAGGACAAGCUGUUUAGUGAUGGGGCUAUCAUCUCUCCCUUCAUGAUUUCAACGGCUCCCGAGGCUCACAGGCCCACAGACUACAGGAGUUGGUACUCUGCAACUCGGCCUUACAAAGUGUCUACCUAUCAGGACAAAUAUGAACCCUACCUCAUUCUGAGAAACACUGAGAAUCUACCGCUGUUUGAUGAACGCUUCACAGGUUAUGGGAUGAAUAAAGUAACGUACGCAAUGGAGCUUCAUGCCAGUGGAUAUGAAUACAUGGUGCUACCCAAUGUGUGGGCCGUCCAUGUCCCCCAUCGUGAGAGCUCGGCUAAGAUCCGUUUCUUGUUGGAUCCUCUGUAUCGGUUGAACAACCGGGCCGACCGAUUCGAAUUUGUAUCUGACCUGAUGAGAAGGCAUAACUUGGGUGGCUGCAAGGCAGACCAACACUGAUAUAGUAAUGUUAGAAAUCUGUGGAUCUUAUUGCAAGACUUUGUAUUUAUUUCCUUGCCUGCAACAAGCCAGUUUAUUGGCUUGGACUGAUGCCCACUGGAGAUAACAAAAAUAUAUACUGGCUCAGUUUGUUCCUCAUUGUUCUAAUAAAUGCAACAAAGAGUUUAGUUUAUACCAGGCUGAUGCUUAGCGCAGCCUUUCAUAGCCAACUUGUCAUCUAGUCUGAAAUAAUAGUCUUGACUAAUUUGAAGGCCAGUUCAUACGUCAUGUUAAUAUGAACAAGUGUUACACAAACUUGACCUCUUUGAACAUUCAUGGCAAAAAUUAGCCAGAGUUAAAAUGUGUUAAACUUGUCAGAAUUCACACAGCAACUGCUUUCUGGUUUGCAUUUGCAAUUCACAUUAAAAGACAAUUACAUAGCUUUUGUACAUUUCUGGUUUUUAGCCAUAUACAUAUAAUUAUUAAUGGGUAUGUGCCCAUUCUCAAGGAAGGUAAUCCAGUAUUUCUGGAAUAUCCCGAGAAAAAACUUUGUGGUGCUUCAUUGUUAUUUCCAAGUUCCAGAAUUUGUAUGUGGUGUUUGGUAACCUCAGAACUUUCCAGAAAGCUCAGCCAAAUUUAUAUAGACAUAAGUCUGAGCAAGACAGCAGACCUUAGUCAAUCAUAUCAGUAGCUUCCUCUUUGGUGCUCUAGUCUUGAAUCAAGACUACCAAAAUCAUAUAAGCUUUAUAAGAAGGUAGGGCUGUAUGCAAAUGAAAUGGCUAUGGCUAGCAGUUACACACGUGUCUAUGGGAAGUGCUUUAACUGCUCUCAUAGGCCAAUCUGUUAUUGUAAGCCGGUGCAAGAAAUUGGAAUGCAGGCGAAUUAACACAAUUCAUUGGUCAGUUACGUAAAUUUGGUUUUGUUGGUCUACAGUUGAGAAGAAAUACGUAGGUCCAUCUUUUGUCACAUUAUUUUUUAUAUUGCAUGUCAUUCUCAAUGCAUUCAUGUGACUUUAUUCAGGACAAUUUGGUGUUUUAGUGAUAUGGUUUAAUUAUUAUUCUUUGGAAUUGUGUAAAUAGUCGAAAACCUUGCCCGAGAUGUUAUUUAUUCAUUUACGGAAACCCUGAAUACAUUUACUAUUGUUCCUUAGCAUACUUUUUUUUGGUAUUUGUUGCGACUUGCCAUUUACAAAGAAAUGAAUACUGGUGAUGAACGUUAGGACUUUCUAAACUAUACCUCACAAAUUGGUAUAAAAUGGUUUUGGAUGAGGCCACUGUUUAAAUUUAGCAAAGCAUUUCUGUAAAGAAAGAGUUAUACACAUAGCUGGAGUACAACUGUUUGUGAAUAUUUUAAUUAUUUCAAUGUGAUUAUCUUAGAUUUUUAUAAGAUGAACAAAUACUGUGAUUGUAUUUUUCUAGAGUCAUAAAUUAAUUAGAAAUAAGGGAAGUCACAUAAAGGCUCUACAAAUGAUGAAUUAAUUGUUGUAAGUCAAUCAUGAGAUUUCCCGAAACCUCAUCUUUUGCACUUCCAAACAACAACUCAAUUUGUAUACAUUCUGUCUUGGGAUGGCGAAAGAAAACUCCAGAGAUUACAUGUCUAUUGGAUCAGCCUGUGAAUUUAACACAAAUUAUAAUUUCCAUAUUGAUAUCACUUGAAAAGUGUUGUUUUGGCUUUUUUUGUAAUUACCAAGAAAUUUAAUAAUUGUUGGACUUCCAUCCUCUAAAUGUGAACCCAAUUCCUACUAAGGUAUGAAGUUAUUUGUGACCUUUAUCUUUUCUCAUUUUCAAACCAGCUCCUAUAUUUAGAACUGAUCAUGGUAUGAGGUGCCUAUUUAUGAAACGAGUAUAAAAAGUCUGGGUUUAAUUUAAGAGUUUCUUUUCAGGUACAUAUCUAACUAAUUCAUGUUUUAUAAUUCAAUAUUUAUUUAAAACAACUCAAGUUAGAUAUUAUAAUUGCUUUGAAAAUGGAAACGUCAACCAUCCAAAAACCUGAAAUAAAAAGAAAAACAAGCAUGACAACUGAAAAAUGACUCCAUGAUGUCAUGCAGCAUCAUUCAUGGUCAUCUGUAUUACCUCAAUGAAUAACACAGAAUCUAUGGAACAAUUUGUGAUAUAAGUAUCUGUUGAUACAAACAUUUCUUCUUAAAGGUGGCACAGAUAAACAUGUAGCUACUCCACCACCAAAUGUUAAAUAAUAAACAGAAAUCUACCUUGAUGCAAUUGGCAUUUUAAUUUUGCUUUCUUUCCCUCGAUUCUAUUUACAUAUUUCUAUCUUAGUAAUUAUCUAUAAACACAUUGCAUACAACAGUGCAAUAUUUCUUGACAAACAGCACAUGUACAGUACGUUUUUGUAACUGCAAGAGUUUCAUGUGUCGGUAGUGUAUUUUGUUACAAGUAUCUGUGGUACUGGAUGUAGCAAUAUGAACCAUGCCCAAGUACAUGUAGUAUCAUGUUAGCAAUAUUAAGCAAAAGCAUACUUCACAGAAAAUAAGCCACCCAUCCUUGUUUCAUACACUUAACCUAGUAAUGUCAAUAUUUUCCAUCACUAAUUGAUUGAGUGGUUUACAUGUCUUUUUGGGGUCACAUCACUAAGUUUGUAUACAAAUAUGAAAACAUCUACAGCGUCGGGUUCAAACAAACAAACAACCCAACA